This 1405-nucleotide long non-coding RNA is filed under the name Mus musculus (house mouse). Its description in RNAcentral is "long non-coding RNA chr8:13779822-13781227". The record is from RNAcentral. Lineage: Eukaryota; Metazoa; Chordata; Mammalia; Rodentia; Muridae.
UUGAGCUUGAAUAGAAUGAAGAACCUGGGCUGGAGAGAUGGGUCAGUGGUUAAGAGCACUGUCUUCUUCUAGAGGUGGCUCACAACCAUCUGUAAUGGGAUCUGAUGCCCUCUUCUUAUGUGUCUGAAGACAGUGACAGUGUACUCACAUAUGUUUAAAAAAGUAAUAAUAAAAUAAAUAAAGUGAAAUAAAAAAAUGAAGAAUUAAGCCUGGCACUGGUGGUGCAUGCCUUUGAUCCUAGCAAUUGGGAGGCAGGGGCAGGCAGAUUUCUGAGUUCAAGGCCAGCCUGGUCUACAAAGUGAGUUCCAGGACAGCCAGGGCUACACAGAGAAAUCCUGUCUCACAAAAGAAACAAACAAACAAAGAACUAAAGAUACGAAUGUAAGAAGAAAGGCCUGCCACUGAAUGGAGGGUGUGAAUCACAGCCUAGACACAGCCUAUCAAGAAUUUUUUAAAAAAUCCCUAAGAGGAAAGAAUGCAUAGAAAUGUGCAGAGAUGCUGGAGGAGGUAGUGCAGGCCUGUAAUCCUGUCUCUCGGAUUGCUGAAGCAGGAGGAUGGUAAGAUCCAGACCAGCUUGGGCUAUACACAGCCUGGUGGAUGGGAUGCUUGUGUACGUUCCGUCCAUGGAAACGGUAAGCACCGGAAGGGCAGCAUGAAGUUAGGGAACCAUUGAAGGCAUUCAGCAACAUCCUUACCUAGGAAUGGAGUUGGCAUUUGGUGUAAGAGGCCACCAGGCAACUUCCAAGCAGCUAGUGCUUCUAACCACUGAGCCAUCUCGCCAGCCCCAACUCGUGAUGAUGUGAAAAUACAGUUAGAAAUGAGUAAAACCUGGCAAACCAUUAGUGUGUUGUCAUAGUUACCAGUUAAAUAUUGCUGAGUCACAGGCUUUCAUCAACAGUAAUAAAGGCUGAGUUCUGUGUGUCACUUGCAUGCUCUUCCCCUGGGCUCUCUGGUUGGCUAAUGUGGCUGUGGUCAGAUGACUGACUGACUAUGAUGGGCUCACAGUGGGUGAAGGACCUCAGCUGGGAUGACGUCAGAUCUCCAUCCAGGACUGCUUCAUGGUAUAAGUGGGCUCAGAGAUCUAAAGGACAAGGAACAACCUCUUCUGCCAAAGUGCCUGGCCCUGAAAGCUAUCAAUUUGAAAUGUGUAAUAGUUUCAGUUAUGUCAGAAAUUAUUGACCUUAAUCUAAUUAGAUUGGCCCAAGUAAAUUCUAAUGUUGUUAUAUACUUUGAUAUACCUUGAAAAUAUACUUCAUUCCUAUGAGCAGUAGUUUAGUGACUGUGCCCAGCAUGGUUAAGAUGUAUGCAUACCCAAGCUUUGGGAAGAGUUAGCUCUGAAGCCAUGUUGGUACCAUGAUUGCAUAUACUUUGAAAACUUUUCUAAGCCUCUCCUUUGAAAAUGGUG